UGGGGAAUUUGAGAGUGGGCGCAGCCUGAUCCUUCCCUGCCGCGUGCGUGAAGAAGGCCUUCUGGUUUUUAAGCUCCUUUUUUACGGAAAAAAACCUCCGCUUGUACAGGUUGACUGACGUACCAAAAGACCGCUCAUUCCUCCCCCCGCGUCUAUAAUA
This 160-nucleotide ribosomal RNA is filed under the name uncultured bacterium. RNAcentral describes it as "partial 16S ribosomal RNA". The record is from RNAcentral.